This 755-nucleotide ribosomal RNA is filed under the name Priestia megaterium. Its description in RNAcentral is "bacterial SSU rRNA". It matches the Rfam family "Bacterial small subunit ribosomal RNA", at positions 47 to 781 of the family's 1533-position model. Lineage: Bacteria; Bacillati; Bacillota; Bacilli; Caryophanales; Bacillaceae. The record is from RNAcentral.
CCUAAUACAUGGCAGGUCGGAGCGAACUGAUUAGAAGCUUGCUUCUAUGACGUUAGCGGCGGACGGGUGAGUAACACGUGGGCAACCUGCCUGUAAGACUGGGAUAACUUCGGGAAACCGAAGCUAAUACCGGAUAGGAUCUUCUCCUUCAUGGGAGAUGAUUGAAAGAUGGUUUCGGCUAUCACUUACAGAUGGGCCCGCGGUGCAUUAGCUAGUUGGUGAGGUAACGGCUCACCAAGGCAACGAUGCAUAGCCGACCUGAGAGGGUGAUCGGCCACACUGGGACUGAGACACGGCCCAGACUCCUACGGGAGGCAGCAGUAGGGAAUCUUCCGCAAUGGACGAAAGUCUGACGGAGCAACGCCGCGUGAGUGAUGAAGGCUUUCGGGUCGUAAAACUCUGUUGUUAGGGAAGAACAAGUACGAGAGUAACUGCUCGUACCUUGACGGUACCUAACCAGAAAGCCACGGCUAACUACGUGCCAGCAGCCGCGGUAAUACGUAGGUGGCAAGCGUUAUCCGGAAUUAUUGGGCGUAAAGCGCGCGCAGGCGGUUUCUUAAGUCUGAUGUGAAAGCCCACGGCUCAACCGUGGAGGGUCAUUGGAAACUGGGGAACUUGAGUGCAGAAGAGAAAAGCGGAAUUCCACGUGUAGCGGUGAAAUGCGUAGAGAUGUGGAGGAACACCAGUGGCGAAGGCGGCUUUUUGGUCUGUAACUGACGCUGAGGCGCGAAAGCGUGGGGAGCAAACAGGAUUAG